Molecule: ribosomal RNA, 468 nt
Filed under: uncultured bacterium
Lineage: Bacteria
Description: partial 16S ribosomal RNA
Rfam family: Bacterial small subunit ribosomal RNA
Source: RNAcentral
GACGAACGCUGGCGGCGUGCUUAACACAUGCAAGUCGAACGGAAAGGCCCUGCUUUUGUGGGGUGCUCGAGUGGCGAACGGGUGAGUAACACGUGAGUAACCUGCCCUUGACUUUGGGAUAACUUCAGGAAACUGGGGCUAAUACCGGAUAGGAGCUCCUGCUGCAUGGUGGGGGUGGGAAAGUUUCGGCGGUUGGGGAUGGACUCGCGGCUUAUCAGCUUGUUGGUGGGGUAGUGGCUUACCAAGGCUUUGACGGGUAGCCGGCCUGAGAGGGUGACCGGCCACAUUGGGACUGAGCUACGGCCCAGCCUCCUACGGGAGGCAGCAGUGGGGAAUAUUGCACAAUGGGCGGAAGCCUGAUGCAGCAACGCCGCGUGCGGGAUGACGGCCUUCGGGUUGUAAUCCGCUUUCGCCUGUGACGAAGCGUGAGUGACGGUAAUGGGUAAAGAAGCACCGGCUAACUACGUG